RNAcentral lists this ribosomal RNA (404 nucleotides) under Fusobacteriota bacterium. RNAcentral describes it as "Fusobacteria bacterium partial 16S ribosomal RNA". It matches the Rfam family "Bacterial small subunit ribosomal RNA", at positions 355 to 776 of the family's 1533-position model. Lineage: Bacteria; Fusobacteriati; Fusobacteriota. The record is from RNAcentral.
UGGGGAAUAUUGCACAAUGGAGGGAACUCUGAUGCAGCGACGCCGCGUGAGUGAUGAAGGAAUUCGUUUCGUAAAACUCUGUUCUAUGGGAAGAAAAGGACUGUACCAUAGGAGAAAGCUCCGGCUAAAUACGUGCCAGCAGCCGCGGUAAUACGUAUGGAGCGAGCGUUGUCCGGAAUUAUUGGGCGUAAAGGGUGCGCAGGCGGCUUUACAAGUUGGAUGUGAAAUAUUGUGGCUCAACCACAAACGUGCAUCCAAAACUGCAAAGCUUGAGUCAAGGAGAGGUAAGUGGAAUUCCUGGUGUAGCGGUGGAAUGCGUAGAUAUCAGGAGGAAUACCGGUGGCGAAGGCGACUUACUGGACUUAAACUGACGCUCAGGCACGAAAGCGUGGGGAGCAAACAGG